RNAcentral lists this ribosomal RNA (253 nucleotides) under uncultured bacterium. RNAcentral's name for it is "partial 16S ribosomal RNA". It matches the Rfam family "Bacterial small subunit ribosomal RNA", at positions 524 to 776 of the family's 1533-position model. The record is from RNAcentral.
UACGGAGGGAGCUAGCGUUGUUCGGAAUUACUGGGCGUAAAGCGCACGUAGGCGGCUUUGCAAGUCAGAGGUGAAAGCCUGGAGCUCAACUCCAGAAUUGCCUUUGAGACUGCAUCGCUUGAACACGGGAGAGGUGAGUGGAAUUCCGAGUGUAGAGGUGAAAUUCGUAGAUAUUCGGAAGAACACCAGUGGCGAAGGCGGCUCACUGGACCGUUGUUAACGCUGAGGUGCGAAAGCGUGGGGAGCAAACAGG